GACGAACGCUGGCGGCGUGCUUAACACAUGCAAGUCGAACGGAAAGGCCCUGCUUUUGUGGGGUGCUCGAGUGGCGAACGGGUGAGUAACACGUGAGUAACCUGCCCUUGACUUUGGGAUAACUUCAGGAAACUGGGGCUAAUACCGGAUAGGAGCUCCUGCUGCAUGGGGGGGGUUGGAAAGUUUCGGCGGUUGGGGAUGGACUCGCGGCUUAUCAGCUUGUUGGUGGGGUAGUGGCUUACCAAGGCUUUGACGGGUGGCCGGCCUGAGAGGGUGACCGGCCACAUUGGGACUGGGAUACGGCCAGAACUCCUAGGGGGGGCAGCAGUGGGGAAUAUUGCACAAUGGGCGGAAGCCUGAUGCAGCAACGCCGCGUGCGGGAUGACGGCCUUCGGGUUGUAAACCGCUUUCGCCUGUGACGAAGCGUGAGUGACGGUAAUGGGUAAAGAAGCACCGGCUAACUACGUG
Molecule: ribosomal RNA, 468 nt
Filed under: uncultured bacterium
Lineage: Bacteria
Description: partial 16S ribosomal RNA
Rfam family: Bacterial small subunit ribosomal RNA
Source: RNAcentral